CAGCCGUAAACUAUGCGCGUUAGGUGUAUCGGUGACCACGAGUUACCGAGGUGCCGAAGGGAAACCGUGAAACGUGCCGCCUGGGAAGUACGGUCGCAAGGCUGAAACUUAAAGGAAUUGGCGGGGGAGCACAACAACGGGUGGAGCCUGCGGUUUAAUUGGACUCAACGCCGGACAACUCACCGGGGACGACAGCAAUAUGUAGGCCAGGCUGAAGACCUUGCCUGAAUCGCUGAGAGGUGGUGCAUGGCGUCAGUGACU
This 261-nucleotide ribosomal RNA is filed under the name uncultured archaeon. Its description in RNAcentral is "partial 16S ribosomal RNA". It matches the Rfam family "Archaeal small subunit ribosomal RNA", at positions 748 to 1008 of the family's 1478-position model. The record is from RNAcentral.